This 1278-nucleotide long non-coding RNA is filed under the name Oncorhynchus kisutch (coho salmon). Its description in RNAcentral is "lncRNA (ENSOKIG00005005612.1)". Lineage: Eukaryota; Metazoa; Chordata; Actinopteri; Salmoniformes; Salmonidae. The record is from RNAcentral.
GUUUAAACGAAGAAGAAAAAAGCCAUUUUACCGUGGUCCACUCCUUCGGCACAUGCAGGACACUUACGCAGGAUGACGUGCCUCGGACAGUCUUCUGUGCAGUGAAAUCCUUUCGCUCUCCACCACCUCGUUAAAGCCGUACUUCUGCAAAGCAGACUUCUUCAUGUCCUUCUCCAGCCCCUCCAGCUUCAGCCGCACCGGUCUCCCCAUAUCUUCGGGCGUCGGUAGCACCGGGACUGUCGAUUCCUUCUUAGCGCUCAAUAUAACCACCCGGUAACCACCCUUCCUCUAUGGAAGAGCUGGGUUCCUCACCUGGGUUGAGGGCAUGUAGAGAAGCUGGCCUUCCUGCAGCAAGUUAAGCGACUGGAGACCGGUUUGGCCCGGUCCCAGGAGUUCACGAUCACCGGAGAGACGCUGGACGGGACGGCGGGUCAAGCUGGGCGGUGUCUGGGUUUGAUCCCGAAAGACCAGCAGUCAGACAGAGCAUCAUCUGUCGGCAGGCUCAAGGUCUGCUCCAACGCCUCAUAGGGAGAGAGAGGAGGCGGAAGGGUUCACAUAGAUAAAUCAGCGCUGAAUCGUAUUCCCUACAUCCUUUACAGAUGCUGUGCCUUUUGGCUACAAUUUAAUCAUGAAGCUUCAGGCUUGCAACAUAUAGUCCGGAAUUAAAUGUCCCAAAGGUGUUACGCACAGAUGUUGUUGGUCUAGAUUCUUUUCAUCCAUGCAUGGUAAUUCCACCACGAGACUACAAUUUUCCCAAAACUUCAGUUCUACGCACUUCGCCUCAGCUUGGACAAGUGCAUCCGAAGUGCCGCUGGUUUGCAGUUCUAUGCCCCUUGUUCGUGAUGCUCAUUGCUGUGGGAACGAGAGAGAAGACCCCAUGGUGGUGGCCGUGCGCUGACCGACCAGCAGGAGUGGGCAGUGGUGGAAAUGGUGAGGGCCAGGAAUGAGAUACGUCUGUCUGAAAGAAAGCAGGACAUUGAUGAGAAUGAUGACACCUUUGCCAAUGUGUCAUCCAUCAGCCUGCCAACACCUUUUGAAGAGGCACCAGGUAUCUAUGAAACACAUUUACCUAUUGCCUUUUGAGAGAAACGACCGGGUGAAACAAUUGCAGGCUGAGUAUGUUCAGUUACAGCACUAACCUCACCGGCCGACGGACGACCGUCCAAGCACCUGGACAACGGGGGGAAACAUCUCCAUGUGCACAGCUAUCUCUGAAUAGUAUGGUAUGGUAUGGUAGGAUGUAGGCCUACCAUCAUUGUGUGGUAGGAUGUAGGCCAU